Chinchilla lanigera (long-tailed chinchilla) is the source of this 695-nucleotide non-coding RNA. NCBI's taxonomy places the organism in Eukaryota, Metazoa, Chordata, Mammalia, Rodentia, Chinchillidae. The record is from the annotation of a RefSeq genome assembly.
UCUGCAAGCACAAGUCAGACUACUGGAAGAGCCUGUUGUUUCUGACAGGUGUUUCUAGAAGAUGCCAUUGGAGCUGAGCCCUUGAAGAUUUUGUGUAAUGCAAGUAGCAAGGACUAUUUCCUACCAACAUGCUUCGCUUCACCUGUUCAGUUCUUCUGAUUCUCUUGAUGUUCAGGAGAAACCGUGGAGACUCAGUGACCCAGACAGAAGGCCCCGUUACUCUCACAGAGGGAGACCUUCUGAUGCUCAACUGCACUUAUCAGACAACGUAUUUAAGUCCUGUUCUUUUCUGGUAUAUCCAGUAUAUGGACAAAGCUCCUCAGCUCCUCCUGAGGAGUGCAAUAGAAAACCAGCAGACUGAGAGCCAAGGUUUCCAGGCCACUCUUGUCAAGAGCCAGCGCUCCUUCCACCUGCACAAAGGUUCACUUCAGCUGUCAGACUCUGCCGUGUACUACUGUGCUCUGUUGACACAGUGAGGAAGCUACAGGGGGAGCUGAGCACAAAUCCAGAGAGUGCAGGAGGCUGAGGGGAGCAACCCUGGCCAGAAAGUGCUGUGUCCUCUGCCUAAGCAGUGCUCAGUGAGGUUCCCCAACAACAUAAGCCAUUCUCAGUUUGAGUUUCUAGAAAACUUGGAGGUCCUGAGUGACUCUGGGGUGUGAUGGGGUGGACGAUAGGUUAAAGGGAUCACAGGGUUU